GGAUUGAUGGUGCAUUCAUGAAGGGUCCAUACCAUGGUAUGAUCCUGACAGCAGUGAUGGGAACAAUUGCACAUACCCUUUGGCAUAUGCAGUUGUUGAAGCAGAGAACUUUAAUUCAUGGACCUGGUUUUUAACUAACUUAGGAGAUGAUCUUGGUUUGUAUGCAAACUCCAACUUCACUUUCAUAUCAGAUAGACAGAAGGGGUUAUUGCCUGCACUUGAGAAACUUUUCCCAGCAGCAGAGCAUAGAUAUUGCCUAAGGCAUCUUCAUGAGAACAUGAAACGUAAAUGGAGGGGCAAGGAAUUCAAGGAUUGUCUUUGGAAAUGUGCAACAUGUACCACCAUACCACAAUUCAACAGUGCCAUGGAAGAACUAAAGAAACUUAACAGUGAAGCAUAUGACUGGCUUAAUUCUAUUCCACCUAAGCACUGGUCCAGAUCCCACUUCUCAGGUAUAUAAUAUUAUGUUUAUAAGUGUAUAAUUUUUAAAUAUAAUCUAAUACAGUUGUGUUUUAUUAGGGAGGGCACAUUGUGAUGCUGUGUUGAAUAAUAUGUGUGAGAGUUUGAAUAGCAAGAUAGUGAAGGGUCGUGAUAAGCCAAUUAUCAGUUGCUUGGAGUUUAUUAGGGAGUAUAUCAUGAGGAAAAUUGUCAUGGUUCAAAAAGAAAUUGAUAAAGCUAAUGGCCCAUUAACUCCUACAGCCACUAAGACCCUUGAAAAAAUUAAAGAAAGGGCAGCACAGUGUAGGGCAGUGUUCUGUGGCAAUGGGAAGUACCAGGUUACAAGUGAAGGUACUAAUCAGUAUGUGGUUAAUAUGGACCAACAAACUUGUUCAUGUAAUAGGUGGGAACUGACAGGCAUACCCUGCAAACAUAGUAUAGCAGCUAUAUGGGAUAUGAGGCUCAACAAUGAAAAUGUUGGAAUACCUGAGACAUGGGUACACCCAACUUAUUGGCUCAAUACAUGGAAAGAAAUGUAUGUCUUCAAAGUUGAACCUAUUAAUGGGAGGUUAUUGUGGGAAAAAAGCACAUGUCCUACCAAGUUGAUACCACCAAAGUAUCGUGUCCCUA
This is a non-coding RNA of Lactuca sativa (garden lettuce), 1068 nucleotides long. Lineage: Eukaryota; Viridiplantae; Streptophyta; Magnoliopsida; Asterales; Asteraceae. The record is from RefSeq and is a predicted model, not a curated record.